This 76-nucleotide transfer RNA is filed under the name Bifidobacterium pullorum subsp. gallinarum. RNAcentral's name for it is "Bifidobacterium gallinarum tRNA-Arg". It matches the Rfam family "tRNA". From Rfam's summary of the family: Transfer RNA (tRNA) molecules are approximately 80 nucleotides in length. RNAcentral also lists the same sequence under 2 other names. The record is from RNAcentral. Lineage: Bacteria; Bacillati; Actinomycetota; Actinomycetes; Bifidobacteriales; Bifidobacteriaceae.
GGGUCCGUAGCUCAGUGGAUAGAGCGUCUGUCUCCGGAACAGAAGGUCGUGAGUUCGAACCUCAUCGGGCCCACCG